This 497-nucleotide ribosomal RNA is filed under the name uncultured bacterium. RNAcentral describes it as "partial 16S ribosomal RNA". It matches the Rfam family "Bacterial small subunit ribosomal RNA", at positions 28 to 507 of the family's 1533-position model. The record is from RNAcentral.
GAUGAACGCUGGCGGCGUGCCUAAUACAUGCAAGUCGAGCGAACGGACGAGAAGCUUGCUUCUCUGAUGUUAGCGGCGGACGGGUGAGUAACACGUGGAUAACCUACCUAUAAGACUGGGAUAACUUCGGGAAACCGGAGCUAAUACCGGAUAAUAUUUUGAACCGCAUGGUUCAAAAGUGAAAGACGGUCUUGCUGUCACGUAUAGAUGCAUCCGCGCUGCAUUAGCUAGUUGGUAAGGUAACGGCUUACCAAGGCAACGAUGCAUAGCCGACCUGAGAGGGUGAUCGGCCACACUGGAACUGAGCCACGGUCCAGACUCCUACGGGAGGCAGCAGUCGGGAAUCUUCCGCAAUGGGCGAAAGCCUGACGGAGCAACGCCGCGUGAGUGAUGAAGGUCUUCGGAUCGUAAAACUCUGUUAUUAGGGAAGAACAUAUGUGUAAGUAACUGUGCACAUCUUGACGGUACCUAAUCAGAAAGCCACGGCUAACUACGUG